Vicia faba (fava bean) is the source of this 222-nucleotide non-coding RNA. The record is from the annotation of a GenBank genome assembly. Lineage: Eukaryota; Viridiplantae; Streptophyta; Magnoliopsida; Fabales; Fabaceae.
AUGGUGGAUGCUCGCCACCACAUGCUCGGUCGCUUGGCAUCGAUCGUAGCGAAGGAGCUUCUAAACGGACAGAAAGUUGUGGUUGUUAGAUGCGAAGAGAUAUGCAUCUCCGGUGGCCUCGUCAGGCAGAAAAUGAAGUACAUGAGGUUUCUUCGUAAACGGAUGAACACGAAGCCGACCCGGUCCAAUUCCCUCAACCAAGCUCAGUUUUUUUUAACUUAA